UGAGGAAUAUUGCGCAAUGGGGGCAACCCUGACGCAGCAACGCCGCGUGAGUGAGGAAGGUUUUCGGAUUGUAAAGCUCUGUCGAGCGGAAAGAAAUGCUUGGUGGUUAAUACCCAUCAUGCUUGACGGUACCGCUAGAGGAAGCACCGGCUAACUCCGUGCCAGCAGCCGCGGUAAUACGGGGGGUGCAAGCGUUGUUCGGAAUCAUUGGGCGUAAAGCGCGUGUAGGCGGCUUGACAAGUCAGAUGUGAAAUCCCUGGGCUUAACCCAGGAAGUGCAUUUGAAACUGUCUAGCUUGAGUAAGGGAGAGGAAAGUGGAAUUCCUGGUGUAGAGGUGAAAUUCGUAGAUAUCAGGAGGAACACCGGUGGCGAAGGCGACUUUCUGGCCCUAUACUGACGCUGAGACGCGAAAGCGUGGGUAGCAAACA
RNAcentral lists this ribosomal RNA (428 nucleotides) under uncultured prokaryote. Its description in RNAcentral is "bacterial SSU rRNA". It matches the Rfam family "Bacterial small subunit ribosomal RNA", at positions 355 to 774 of the family's 1533-position model. The record is from RNAcentral.